GGUGAGCAGCCGUUAGAGCGUCGCGCGCCGCAGCUGUUAGGCGCGUACGGCUGAGGUGGAGUUACCGCCGCUGUGGCUGUGAGGAUGGUGGGGGCGGCUCUUCCCGGUACCGGUUUGCCGUCUGGGCAAAAGCGGGAACGUUUUUUGGAACGAGGACUGAAAAAUCAGGCUUCUGAGAGCGUGAGGGGAAUGAACAAGUAACAAAACAGAAAGUGCAGCCCUUUCCUCUGAAACAGUGCAGCGGUGGCCCUGGAAUGGAGAUAGGCGGCAGAACGUAGUUGAUCUUCGUGGAGAUUGCAGAGCAAGCCAGGUUUUGGAGUCUUUAAAUGACAUGUUACAGUGACCAAAGUAUAAAGCUGGAAGUUUGGUGUCUGGAAGCUGGAAGCCCCACUUUUGGUGCAGUUAAAAUGUAGGAAUAUGAGCAGCUUGGAAAUACUUGUGGGCAUCAGAUACAGCUGUGCCUCCUUCACAUUACCCUGGCCUGGGACAUCUUGAUACAAAAUCAGAUUACUGCCUGUGUAUCUGUAUAAUAUUAAAAGGAAAAGAACUGCACCAAACACACACCGAGUGAUGAGGCAACCUGACCAGUACUCUGUUCUUUCGCAAGUUGAGCUAGGAAGCCUGGAGAAGAUUAGAGAGUAAAUUAUGUGCUUGUUUCUAUUUCCUGUUGGGAGUGCCUCUCUGUUGACUGGUCACCAAAAACCUGUAUCAAAUCAGAAAGCAGAUAAGCACACUGAAAAGACACGUUGUGAAGAGGCAGCUCUGAAGACCUUCAAGGGAGGUGCCCUGAGGAGAAUCCCGUACUGUGGACAGAGCACACGUGUUUUAGGUGCUGUCUUUGGUCUCUGCAUUUUAGAGAAGGUUAACUGCAUCACAACAGCGCUUCUGACCAUGUCUGACAUCCAGGGUUGCAUAUUCACUUAAGAAACAUCCUCUGCCUGUUUAUGCUGUGGAAUUUCCCAACCACUUUGUUAUGACUUUGUUGUGAACUCAUCCAUAAAACACUUGGAAGCACGUGCAUAAUAAAUACUUGACUAUUUCUACUGAAUGCAGUAAUGGACAAUUACAUGUUUUUGUAGGACAGAAGACUUUAUUAGGGAGCAGCUUGUAGUUAAAAGACUACUUACUUGAAAUCUACCUUGAAAAGCAACUUAAGCCAGUCUUUGAUGCAGUGAAGCAUGAGUCCCGCCUCAGCUGCAAUUGAAGCAAGAAAAAAAAAUCAAUAAACCAUUUUUAAGAGACAAUUUGUAAUUCACUGGUCCUGCUGUUGUUUUACUUUUCUAUGUGCAAACCCAUGCAGUGUAGCUGGUGAAUACAGCUAAUAAACAAC
This 1330-nucleotide long non-coding RNA is filed under the name Gallus gallus (chicken). Lineage: Eukaryota; Metazoa; Chordata; Aves; Galliformes; Phasianidae. The record is from RNAcentral.